RNAcentral lists this ribosomal RNA (206 nucleotides) under uncultured bacterium. Its description in RNAcentral is "partial 16S ribosomal RNA". It matches the Rfam family "Bacterial small subunit ribosomal RNA", at positions 568 to 774 of the family's 1533-position model. The record is from RNAcentral.
AGCGCAGACGGUUAUUUAAGCAAGAUGUGAAAGCCCCGGGCUCAACCUGGGAACUGCGUUUUGAACUGGGUAACUAGAGUGUGUCAGAGGGGGUAGAAUUCCACGUGUAGCAGUGAAAUGCGUAGAGAUGUGGAGGAAUACCGAUGGCGAAGGCAGCCCCCUGGGAUAACACUGACGUUCAUGCUCGAAAGCGUGGGGAGCAAACA